Molecule: ribosomal RNA, 506 nt
Filed under: uncultured bacterium
Lineage: Bacteria
Description: partial 16S ribosomal RNA
Rfam family: Bacterial small subunit ribosomal RNA
Source: RNAcentral
AGUGAACGCUGGCGGUAGGCCUAACACAUGCAAGUCGAACGGCAGCACAGGAGAGCUUGCUCUCUGGGUGGCGAGUGGCGGACGGGUGAGGAAUACAUCGGAAUCUACUUUUUCGUGGGGGAUAACGUAGGGAAACUUACGCUAAUACCGCAUACGACCUACGGGAGAAAGCAGGGGACCUUCGGGCCUUGAGCGAUGGAAUGAGCCGAUGUCGGAUUAGCUAGUUGGCGGGGUAAAGGCCCACCAAGGCGACGAUCCGUAGCUGGUCUGAGAGGAUGAUCAGCCACACUGGAACUGAGACACGGUCCAGACUCCUACGGGAGGCAGCAGUGGGGAAUAUUGGACAAUGGGCGCAAGCCUGAUCCAGCCAUACCGCGUGGGUGAAGAAGGCCUUCGGGUUGUAAAGCCCUUUUGUUGGGAAAGAAAUCCAGCUGGCUAAUACCCGGUUGGGAUGACGGUACCCAAAGAAUAAGCACCGGCUAACUUCGUGCCAGCCGCCGCCGUAA